Molecule: ribosomal RNA, 866 nt
Filed under: uncultured Peptococcaceae bacterium
Lineage: Bacteria; Bacillati; Bacillota; Clostridia; Eubacteriales; Peptococcaceae
Description: bacterial SSU rRNA
Rfam family: Bacterial small subunit ribosomal RNA
Source: RNAcentral
UGUAACGCGUGGAUAACCUGCCCAUUAGACCGGGAUAACGCUGGGAAACUGGCGCUAAUACCGGAUACGCUCCUUGCUCCGCAUGGGGUAAGGAGGAAAGGGGGAACCCGCUAAUGGAUGGGUCCGCGUCCCAUUAGCUAGAUGGUGGGGUAACGGCCUACCAUGGCGACGAUGGGUAGCCGGCCUGAGAGGGUGACCGGCCACACUGGGACUGAGACACGGCCCAGACUCCUACGGGAGGCAGCAGUGGGGAAUCUUCCGCAAUGGGCGAAAGCCUGACGGAGCGACGCCGCGUGAGCGAGGAAGGCCUUCGGGUCGUAAAGCUCUGUUCUGGGGGAAGAAGUAAGUGACGGUACUCCAGGAGAAAGCCCCGGCUAACUACGUGCCAGCAGCCGCGGUAAGACGUAGGGGGCGAGCGUUGUCCGGAAUCACUGGGCGUAAAGGGCGCGUAGGCGGUCCAAGAAGUCAGUGGUGAAAUACCGCAGCUCAACUGCGGGGGCGCCAUUGAAACCAUUGGACUUGAGGGCAGGAGAGGGGAGUGGAAUUCCCGGUGUAGCGGUGAAACGCGUAGAUAUCGGGAGGAACACCAGUGGCGAAGGCGGCUCUCUGGCCUGGCCCUGACGCUGAGGCGCGGAAGCGUGGGGAGCCAACAGGAUUAGAUACCCUGGUAGUCCACGCUGUAAACGAUGGGUGCUAGGUGUUGGGGGGAUAGGACCCUUCAGUGCCGUAGCUAACGCAAUAAGCACCCCGCCUGGGGAGUACGGCCGCAAGGCUGAAACUCAAGGGAAUUGACGGGGGCCCGCACAAGCGGUGGAGCAUGUGGUUUAAUUCGACGCAACGCGAAGAACCUUACCAGGGCUUGACAU